This 203-nucleotide long non-coding RNA is filed under the name Lathyrus oleraceus (garden pea). RNAcentral describes it as "Pisum sativum (pea) long non-coding RNA (PSAT_LNC008915)". Lineage: Eukaryota; Viridiplantae; Streptophyta; Magnoliopsida; Fabales; Fabaceae. The record is from RNAcentral.
AGGGCUAGUCCUAAACAUGCAAAGAUAAGAGAAGAGAUAAAACCCUUGGAGUUCCUUUUCUUGAGAUCAUAAAAAUGAUUCAAGAUGCUCCUUUCCUUUGGACUUAGCAAUUAACUCAAACAAUCAAACAAAUAUUAUAUUCAAGCUCCUAGGAUCUCCAUUUGGCUUGUCUCUCUUAACUUUGCUACUCAUGACAAUGGUCC